RNAcentral lists this ribosomal RNA (508 nucleotides) under uncultured glomeraceous AM fungus. RNAcentral's name for it is "SSU rRNA". It matches the Rfam family "Eukaryotic small subunit ribosomal RNA", at positions 569 to 1078 of the family's 1831-position model. Lineage: Eukaryota; Fungi; Glomeromycota; Glomeromycetes; Glomerales; Glomeraceae. The record is from RNAcentral.
AGCAGCCGCGGUAAUUCCAGCUCCAAUAGCGUAUAUUAAAGUUGUUGCAGUUAAAAAGCUCGUAGUUGAAUUUCGGGGUUAGUAGAUUGGUCAUGCCUCUGGUAUGUACUGGUCUCACUGAUUCCUCCUUCCUGAUGAACCUUAAUGCCAUUAAUUUGGUGUUUUGGGGAAUUUGGACUGUUACUUUGAAAAAAUUAGAGUGUUUAAAGCAAGCUAACGCUUGAAUACAUUAGCAUGGAAUAAUGAAAUAGGACGUUCGAUCCUAUUUUGUUGGUUUCUAGGAUUGACGUAAUGAUUAAUAGGGAUAGUUGGGGGCAUUAGUAUUCAAUUGUCAGAGGUGAAAUUCUUGGAUUUAUUGAAGACUAACUACUGCGAAAGCAUUUGCCAAGGAUGUUUUCAUUAAUCAAGAACGAAAGUUAGGGGAUCGAAGACGAUCAGAUACCGUCGUAGUCUUCACCAUAAACUAUGCCGACUAGGGAUCGGAUGAUGUUAAUUUUUUAAUGACUCA